GAGAGAGAGAGAGAGAGAGAGAGAGAGAGGUAGGUCAUGAUCUCAGUCUGAUACAUCUGAGAUUCUAGAAUAAGGUUAAGAAAUAUGCAGGUCUUUGGGGAUCACAAAUAAUGUGUCAUUUUUAGGAGAACUUGCCCUUUUCAUUUUCUUUCAAGGGACUUUCAUUGGCGACUUUUCACUUCUCAGCACUUUUCUGUAGAAAGUUUGGGAAAACUUGGGGAGGUAAUAAAGAUCUACAGACUCAGCACCAUAUGACACCCAACAAAAGUGGGGUCAACUCCAUCCCAUCCUGUGUGUUAACUUGUUCCCUUGAGAUUAAGAACAUAGACUGAAAACUGUGAAUGGUUGCUAGGAAGCACAUCAACUGUUUUGCUUUUAGACCAUCCCCAUACCUUUAACAUAGCAAAUGACCGGAGUAUUACAUUUAUUUUAAUUAAAAAUUUGUGCGCCCUACCCCCACUGUGUGGGGAGGUCAGAGGAUAACUUUGUAGAGUGGUUUCUGGGCAUUAAACUCUGGUCCUCAGGCUUACAACAUUGAAGGGCAAGUACUUUUACCUGAUGAGUUUUCUUUAGGGGAGACUGACCUUGAACUCUUGAUCUUCCUUCCUCUUUCUGCCUCCACGUACUGGAUUAUAUUCAUGUCCAACUCCAGCAGAGUCACUUGGCAGUUUCCGAACUCUGGUGCAAGAGCCCAGGUGCAGGCCUGUCUGAUCUGAGCUGUGACUCUCCGUUGCUUGGGUCGGGGAGUGCCCCCUGGUGGCAGGCAGCGGUGGUGGGCGGGAGACCGAGUUUGUGGGGAAGGUUGCGCCGGCCUGGCCUCUAAAUCCUUUAUCACGCGUGCCUGGGUCGUACCGGCCAGCCGGUUUUGAGCUGGCCCAGUGUACCCAAAGCUAGCUUAGUCGCUCCCUUUUCAAGACAUCUGGUCUCUGGCCGCGCGUGCCUGUGUGUCUGCUUUCUUCCUUUGCAGGACACUUGGACCUAGUUGCGUGUGCUCGUGGGCCAGGUCUCUUUCCUUCUCUCUUUCUCCCUCUGCAGGGCGGCUGACCUCUGGUCGCGCCUGCCCGUGGGCCUGGCCCCUUUUGCAGGAGACUGGCCCCUGGCUGCCCCAGGGACGUCCUAGAGUUUGGACUUCCGGGGUUGGCUCCCAGUCUGCUGCUUGUCACCCGCCAGGGCGUUUCCGUGCCCAUGCAUGGGCGCGGCCCUUUAAACUUCACUGUUUUUUAGACUUUGGGGGUGUGGUCACACUUUCUUUUUUUUUCUUCCCGUCCGUCCGUCGCGGUCAUCCCAGACUCGCGGGUCCUUCUCUUGCCCUGCUUUCCAGAUGCUUUGGAGUCAUGAGACGGGAGGGCGCAGGGACCCCUCUGAUGGCCGAGGUGAUCCGAGAUCGCCUUUGUUUUGCCAUUCUCUACAGCAGACCAAAGAGUGCAACAAACGAACAUUAUUUCAGCAUAGAUAACGAGCUAGAGUAUGAGAACUUCUAUGCGGAUUUUGGACCACUCAAUCUGGCCAUGGUUUACAGAUAUUGUUGCAAGAUAAAUAAGAAGCUCAAGUCCAUUACAAUGCUGAGGAAGAAAAUUAUCCAUUUUACUGGCACUGAUCAGAGAAAGCAAGCGAAUGCCGCCUUCCUUGUCGGGUGUUAUAUGGUUAUAUAUUUGGGGAGGACACCAGAAGACGCGUAUAGAACAUUAAUCUUCGGAGAUACAGCCUAUAUUCCUUUCAGAGAUGCUGCCUAUGGAAGCUGCAGUUUCUAUAUUACACUUCUCGACUGUUUUCACGCAGUAAAGAAGGCAAUGCAGUAUGGCUUCUUUAAUUUCAACUCAUUUAACCUUGACGAAUAUGAACACUAUGAAAAAGCAGAAAAUGGAGAUUUCAACUGGAUAAUACCAGAGCGAUUUCUUGCCUUCUGUGGGCCCCAUUCAAGAUCCAGGCUGGAAAGUGGUUACCACCAACAUUCUCCGGAGACUUAUAUUCCAUAUUUUAAGAAUCACAAUGUAACUACCAUUAUUCGUCUGAAUAAAAGGAUGUAUGAUGCUAAGCGCUUUACGGAUGCUGGAUUCGAUCACCAUGAUCUUUUCUUUCCGGAUGGCAGCACCCCUGCUGAGUCAAUUGUCCAAGAAUUUCUGGAUAUUUGUGAAAAUGUCAAGGGUGCCAUUGCUGUGCAUUGCAAAGCUGGCCUUGGUCGAACAGGCACUCUGAUAGGCUGCUACCUCAUGAAGCAUUACAGGAUGACAGCAGCUGAGAGCAUUGCCUGGCUCAGAAUCUGUAGACCCGGCUCAGUAAUUGGGCCCCAGCAACAGUUUCUGGUCAUGAAACAAUCAAGCCUCUGGCUAGAAGGCGACUAUUUCCGUCAAAAGUUAAGAGGGCAGGAGAAUGGCCCCCUCAGAGAAGCCUUCUCCAAACACCUUUCGGAUGCUGAUGACCUGUCCUUAAAUGGGCUUGAGAAUCAAGACAAUCAAGAGCCUGAGCCGUAUAGUGAUGAUGAUGAAGUCAGUGGAAUGACACAAGGAGACAGACUUCGGGCCCUGAAAAGCCGGAGACAGCCGAAAGCCAGCGCUAUCCCCCUCACAUGUCCCCUAGCUGUGCUGACCUCUGCACUGUGUAGUGUUGCCAUCUGGUGGAUUGUGUGUGACUACAUUCUUCCCACCCUGCUGUUCUGUCUUGAUGGCUUCAGAACACAGUAGCCAUCUGGACCCUUUGACAGAUAGUUUGCUGUAGUAAUUCUUCAGUCCAGUGUUCAGAGCUGUAAAACCCCUGAACCUAACCUUUCUGGCAGUGCAGGCAUUACUAAACGAACCACCAGAUCUGCUUCGGGGAAAAGCAGUUUUAAAAGCCUGGCUCCGUGGAGGGAGCGGAGGAGAAGGAGCGCUUUGCAGCAAAUGCCCAUGCUGGCCUUAUGUCCAGCCAUUUCAAGGACUAAGACAGUCUUACGUUAAAGUAAAAAAACGGUGACCAGCACUCCAGGGAAGACUAGGAACAGAAAACCCAAAAAGGAUUUAGCCAAUCAAUCUGAGAACAAAGCAGACUCUGCAAUGGCCUUAGCUUCUUACCACAUAAGAAGUUCAUUCAAUGAAGAAAAUGUCACUGGCCUCUCAUCCACUCACUGACUCUGGGGUGUGGUUGAACCAUUUGAGGGCCUGACUCUCCCUUUUGUUAUCUCAAGUUGGACAAAAGCUGCUGUUGUGAACUUAGUCUCAGGUGUCAAUAUCCUGUCCUCUGCCACCAGAGAGUUGUCUGGUGAGUGUGGUACAUGUGUGUGUGUCCCUGUGAUGGCAAUCAUGUUUGCUGCUGGCCUCCAGAAGAGUUGAGGAUCUGAUGGAGAUAUCUUAGGUAUUUAUUUUUUGUUCAACCUUGUGACCCUGACUCGCAGUUUAUAAAGAUGAAAGAGAUGAACAUCCCACCAGUGGUACCCUCCAUCUUCAGGUAUGAUUUGGUACAAUCAGCUUCACUUUCCUCUUGUUAAUCCUGUUGUGAUGUUCACUGUGUGAAGUACCCAAGCUGCUUGUUUUUCACCAAAGAGUGCUUUAUUAACAACCUGUGAACACUGCAUUUAAACACUGUUGUAUGUUGUUGUGGUUACUGAAAACCUGCUAGGAAAUGUUGAGAAUGUUGGAACCCUUUCUCAGUUACCUGGUUCCUACAAAUCCUUCCUUGUGUCAUUUUAGGAUGAAGAUUUCAGAGCUGGGAUGUUGUUGGGUUGCUCAGCCACGUUAUAAUUGUGUUUACUUCAUUACAUCAAAACCAAACAUCAACCCUAGCAUUUUCCUUUGGGAAAGCAUCCUAAAUAAUGGUGGCUUUAACAACAAAAUUGUGAGCCUUGCUGUAUUGGCGCACGCCUUGAAUCCCAGCAUUGGGAGGCAGAGGCAGGUGGAUCUCCAGGUGGAGUUCCAGGCCAGCCAAUGAUACACAAGGAAAUCCUGUCUCAAAAAUAAAACAAAGCAAAACAAAAAAACCAAACCCAAAAUCCCAAAAUUGUUAACCCUUUGUAGAGUCUUUCUCUGUAACGCUGUGGAGUUUUUUCCUUGUGAUCCACAGUUUGAUUUUAGUGACAAUCACUUGCUUCUGGAGUUAGGCUGUUUGUGUAAGAGAUCUCACUGUUGCCUUUGGUUAGGGAAUAUGACUAGAAACUGUAGUGUGCCUUUUCUCUUCACCCUGCUGGAAGCCAGCAGCACCCGUGCCAUGAAGCAAUUGCAAAACCAGAAUUUAUCUGCUGCCACAAAAAAAAAAAAAAAAAAAAAGACAGAGCCCAUAAUUAGAAAAUACUCUAUAGUUGUCUUGGUUACUUCCACAAUUGAGGCUAAUGGUUUUUUGACUCUCCCAGUUUAGAAACUGGAGAAAUGCAAUAUUGAAAGCCAUUGACAGCCAAUGCCUUCCCAAGACAGGUGAAUGUGUCAGGUGAGCAGGCAAUCCCACUUGAAAAGCUGCCUUCCUUGUAGUUGAUAUUGACAGGUUAAAGUCUAGUUAAUGUAAAAAUAUUGAAAGACAAUAGGUCCCCCCUUUCAGUGUUUCUAUCCUCAAACUGCAUUGGUUGGCCUUGGAUUGGAGGCAUGAGGAUUCAAUGUAAAUCCACACAAAGAGCCCCCCUUCCUAGGCAGCACGUAGCUUUCAAACAACGGGAAAAAACAGUUAAGGUAAAGUUUGUUAUCUCUGGAUAUGAAUUGGAUUGGAUCUAGGUAGGAGGGCAAACGUUUCAUUUACCAAUCAUGCUCAAUCAAACUGCCUAAGUCUAAAAUAGAACCUUCCUGGGUGGUUCUUCCUUCCCUGAACAAGCUAGGCCAGGCACCAGGAGACAGAAGGAGACUCCAUUCCAUCUGAACUAAGCUAGAUUUGUUCGCAUGGAUCAGAAUGAGUUGGUCAGGGCCUGCCCACACUGGCUCGUGGUCUGCAAGUUUGGGAGGAAACCACCUGGGCUUCAGAGAUGACCACAGUGCUUUUUAAAAGGCACUUUUUUGUGUUUGCAGCUCCAUUCAUCUAGAAGUGCUGCCACUGUGGCUCUUCCCUGCAUUUAACUCCCUUGCUAAAGUUACUUAGGAAACGUGAGUUGGUGAGGACACAUUCAUUUCUAGGAAAAGCUACUUGAUGUUGUCUGGGCAGGACUGCUUAGCAACUGACCACCAGUGACAUCAGGACCCAGGAAGUCUUUGAUCAGACUAAUGGAAAGUCCUUCCUGUUGGGAAUUAGUGGACAACCUCUCCCCAAACUACAACUACCCAGAAACUUCUGGGAUAGAAGACCCUGUAGCUAUAAAGCAUGACUCAGUAGAUAUGGGAUGGAGGGGCCCCUUUAACUUAAGAACUUUAAAUGCCUUUGUAAGUGCAUCAAAGCUUCUUCCAGCAGAAUGAAAAUUAGAAAAGUAUAUUUAUAGGUGCCCUUGACGCUUUUGGGGAACGCAUACUAUCCAGAGUCUAAGAGAAGAAUGUCUGCAUUAGCUGAGCUGAGGGCUUAUAGACAGAUUGUCUUAGGGUUUCUAUUCCUGCACAAACAUCAUGACCAAGAAGCAAAUUGGGGAGGAAAGGGUUUAUUCGGCUUGCGCUUCCAUGCUGCUGUUCAUCACCAAAGGAAGUCAGGACUGGAACUCAAACAGGUCAGGGAGCAGGAGCUGAUGCAGAGGCCAUGGUGGGAUGUUCCUUACUGGCUUGCUCAGCUUGCUCUUUUAUAGAACCCAAGACUACCAGCCCAGGGAUGGUUCCACCUACAAGGAGCCUUUCAUCCUUGAUCACUAAUUGAGAAAAUGCCUUACAGUUGGAUCUCAUGGAGGCAUUUCCUUAACUGAAGCUCCUUUCUCUGUGAUAACUCCAGGUGAGUCAAGUUGAAACAAAACUAGGCAGUACACAGAUUAAUACAAUUCUGAGGCCCAGCUAUAACUCUUGAUUUGAGGCAAGAAGGACGGACCCUGAGUAGUGCCACAAUCAAGGGUAGCAGUAUUUGUCGAAACUAACAUGGCCACAUGCUGCUCUUCCUCAUUAACUCCCCAGCUUUAAUUGGUCCCCAAAACCUAGUUCUAUCCAUUGCCCUGCCCUGCCCUACUGCCCCCCUGUCGGGUGGCUUCUACCUCUUGGCUUGGGCCCUGACAGGUCACAGGGGCUUCCAAGCGUUCUCCUGAGGCUCUUUGAGCACAAUCAGGUCUGUCGACCUUUCCAGCUUUCUGGGUCUGGAAUUCCUCAGGCCUUUGUUAGCUUGAAUAGCUGUCUGUGACAAGUGAGUAUGUGUUCUAGAAACAUCAGCUGUUUUUCCUCACAUAUUUUUUUUAAAAGUUCUUACUUGCAUUUUGGAAAGCAGUUGGUCAGAAACCUUAAAACCUAUUUUUUUUUUUUAAGCUGGGCAAUUGUAGCAGGCAGAUCUCUUGUGAGUUCAAGACCUACCUGGUCUUCAAAGUGAGUUCCAGUAUAGUUAGAGCUACACAGAGAAUCCCUGUCUCAAACAAAACAAAGCAAAACAAACAAACAAACAAACAAAACAGAUAAUACAAACUAUAUUUUAAGAUUUCUCUCCCACUGAAGUGACCUCUUGAGAAUAGCCACUGUUCUUGCAUUUCUUCAUAAAUCUGAGUGUUCCCCAUCUCACUGAGUGGAAAUACUACAGAUACAUUUAAAAGAUCGCCUAUACUGUGUAAGAAAUUACCUCCUGAUGAUCCAGUAGAACUCACUGUGGAUAGACACGUCUGUCAGAUUACGGUACUGCAGUUUUACAUCCAUUGUUUGAAGACUUUAUUGUACACUCAUGUGCAGAUGAAGUUUUAAAAUGUUACUGACGAGUCACCAUUUGAUCAGUCAUUGUCUUGAUAUUUUAUUAAAUUGUAUAUUUCUAAUAAUAUUUUUUAAAGUUGAGAGAACUGGUUGGAUGUUUAUUCUCCUGAAGGUAUUUUUAAGAUAAAGCUUCACCAUAGCCUGUAAACUUGGCACAUAAGUAGUUUUUGAUACUUUUUGUUGCAUUUGAAAAAUCUUGUGUAUUGUAAAAUGGUUUUAUACAAAAUACUAAAUAGUAGAAAUUGUAUAAUUUACAAUCGUAUAAUUAAAAAUAUUAAACAGUC
Molecule: RNA transcript, 7027 nt
Organism: Mus musculus (house mouse)
Lineage: Eukaryota; Metazoa; Chordata; Mammalia; Rodentia; Muridae
Gene: Cdc14b
Gene name: CDC14 cell division cycle 14B
Exons: 16
Source: RefSeq, marked validated